GACGUAGGGUGCGAGCGUUGUCCGGAUUUAUUGGGCGUAAAGAGCUCGUAGGCGGCUCGUCGCGUCGACCGUGAAAACCCGCAGCUUAACUGCGGGCUUGCGGUUGAUACGGGCGGGCUAGAGUUCGGUAGGGGAGACUGGAAUUCCUGGUGUAGCGGUGAAAUGCGUAGAUAUCUGGAGGAAUACCGGUGGCGAAGGCGGCAUCCUGGACCGACAUUGACGCUGAGGAGCGAAAGCUAGGGGAGCAAACGGG
This 253-nucleotide ribosomal RNA is filed under the name uncultured bacterium. RNAcentral's name for it is "partial 16S ribosomal RNA". It matches the Rfam family "Bacterial small subunit ribosomal RNA", at positions 524 to 776 of the family's 1533-position model. The record is from RNAcentral.